This 74-nucleotide transfer RNA is filed under the name Dryobates pubescens (Downy woodpecker). RNAcentral's name for it is "Picoides pubescens (downy woodpecker) tRNA". It matches the Rfam family "tRNA". From Rfam's summary of the family: Transfer RNA (tRNA) molecules are approximately 80 nucleotides in length. Their secondary structure includes four short double-helical elements and three loops (D, anti-codon, and T loops). Further hydrogen bonds mediate the characteristic L-shaped molecular structure. tRNAs have two regions of fundamental functional importance: the anti-codon, which is responsible for specific mRNA codon recognition, and the 3' end, to which the tRNAs corresponding amino acid is attached (by aminoacyl-tRNA synthetases). tRNAs cope with the degeneracy of the genetic code in two manners: having more than one tRNA (with a specific anti-codon) for a particular amino acid; and 'wobble' base-pairing, i.e. permitting non-standard base-pairing at the 3rd anti-codon position. Lineage: Eukaryota; Metazoa; Chordata; Aves; Piciformes; Picidae. The record is from Rfam by way of RNAcentral.
GGCCGGUUAGCUCAGUUGGUUAGAGCGUGGUGCUAAUAACGCCAAGGUUGUGGGUUUGAUCCCCAUAUGGGCCA